Molecule: ribosomal RNA, 465 nt
Filed under: Vreelandella stevensii
Lineage: Bacteria; Pseudomonadati; Pseudomonadota; Gammaproteobacteria; Oceanospirillales; Halomonadaceae
Description: partial 16S ribosomal RNA
Rfam family: Bacterial small subunit ribosomal RNA
Source: RNAcentral
CCUACGGGCGGCAGCAGUGGGGAAUAUUGGACAAUGGGGGCAACCCUGAUCCAGCCAUGCCGCGUGUGUGAAGAAGGCCCUCGGGUUGUAAAGCACUUUCAGUGAGGAAGAACGCCUGGUGGUUAAUACCCAUCAGGAAAGACAUCACUCACAGAAGAAGCACCGGCUAACUCCGUGCCAGCAGCCGCGGUAAUACGGAGGGUGCGAGCGGUAAUCGGAAUUACUGGGCGUAAAGCGCGCGUAGGUGGCUUGAUAAGCCGGUUGUGAAAGCCCCGGGCUCAACCUGGGAACGGCAUCCGGAACUGUCAAGCUAGAGUGCAGGAGAGGAAGGUAGAAUUCCCGGUGUAGCGGUGAAAUGCGUAGAGAUCGGGAGGAAUACCAGUGGCGAAGGCGGCCUUCUGGACUGACACUGACACUGAGGUGCGAAAGCGUGGGUAGCAAACAGGAUUAGAUACCCGAGUAGUC